This is a long non-coding RNA of Oncorhynchus tshawytscha (Chinook salmon), 1985 nucleotides long. Lineage: Eukaryota; Metazoa; Chordata; Actinopteri; Salmoniformes; Salmonidae. The record is from Ensembl.
AGAAAAUAAAAUGAUUUUUCCGAUUUUGGUUGUGCAAAUUCAGUAACGAAAAACGAGAAGUUUUCCACUCUCCAUUUAGGCUCAAAUGAACUAAAUGUACACAGACCCAACACAGGGGCUGACCUUACAUAUUCUGUUUAAAGGGGCGAAUUUGAUCUGGAAGCCAAAGCAACCAAAUACUCCAUCUAAACGUGAAUCGAUUCUCAAUUGCGGUACAGUUCUAGAGACAUAAAUCCCUCUACUUUCAUAUCACAUCAAAAUAAUUUCACAAAUGCAAAAUAGCUGGAGAGAGUGGAUUGGUGGAGGUUUGGGCUAGAAUAUAUGUGGCAUGGCUCUAGUCAGGGUUCGGAUAUGAAUUACACACGUGGCGAUGUAAAGUGACUCGUGGUUGCCCAAAUGAAUGUCGCCCAAAUGAAUGUCGCCCAAAUGAAUGAAUGAAUGUGUCACGUUCUUACCUUUAUUUCCUUUGUUUUGUCGUUAUUUAGUAUGGUCAGGGAGUGAGUUGGGGUGGGCAGUCUGUUUGUUUUAGUAUGGUCAGGGCGUGAGUUGGGGUGGGCAGUCUGUUUGUUUUAGUAUGGUCAGGGCGUGAGUUGGGGUGGGCAGUCUAUGUUUGUUUUAGUAUGGUCAGGGCGUGAGUUGGGGUGGGCAGUCUAUGUUUGUUUUUCUAUGAUUUGGGUAUUUCUAUGUUUCGGCCUGGUAUGGUUCUCAAUCAGAGGCAGGUGUCAUUAGUUGUCUCUGAUUGAGAAUCAUACUUAGGUAGCCUGGGUUUCACUGUGUGUUUGUGGGUGAUUGUUCCUGUCUCUGUGUUUGCACCAGAUAGGGCUGUUUUGGGUUUUCACGUUUCUUGUUUUGUUAGUUUGUUCAUGUGUAGAGUCUUUAUUAAAGAACCAUGAAUAGAAACAACGCUGCAUUUUGGUCCGCCUCUCCUUCAAGUCAAGAAAACCAUUACAGAAUGAAUGAAAAAAAUACAUGUUUACAUACAAGACCAGCUGGAUAGAUAUAUGUUGUUUACUAGUAAGUUUGUUACAUAGAAUCAAACAAACAGAUACAUUACUAUAAAAGUUGACACAAACUAUGCUUUUCAGCUUCAGGAAAUGGCAUAACAAUAAUACAUUAUAACCCUUGACAUCCCGAACCUAUGUUUGUUUCAAUAAAAUAGUUUUUCUAACAUUUAGGACUACCCAUCCACUUGCAUUACUAGUUCAAACUAAAUAAAAACAUAUUAAAAUAAAAACGACUAAUUCAGACAAAGGUAGAAACACAUAGAACAGGGUGAUGAGUGUCCUGUCAGGUAACGGACUAUAUAAAGUGCAGAUCUUUAAUUUUUGUAUUUCAUACACUGGCCAUGAUUUCAAUAUUAUCUCAUAUAAAGCCGUGGUCAGAAGGGAUAAGGCAGGCUAACGAUGACCAAUUAUUUGAUAUUAUUACUACUAAUAAUAAUAAUAAUAAUAAUAAUAAUAAUAAUGCUAAUCAACAACAACAAUUUCCCAAAGUGCUAAAACAAGAUACGGAAAAAAAAAAAAAAAAAAAUCUUAAAUUCUCAAAAGAUCUUAUGACAUAUUAAUAAUAUAUAUAUUAUUUAUAGUCCUCAGUUCCUCUAAAUACGUUUUUGUUUAAAUGUUUAAAAAAAAGAAAGCAGGCAAAUGAUCCAUCAAACUGAGAAAAUACUUGAUCUAUUACUCUAUAAUACACUCAAAGCGCAGAAUAGCAACAAGAGGCAAAUACAGGACUCAGAAUAAAAUAAAAAACACAAUCGACCACAGUAUAAAUUCUAGUACUUCAAGGCACAAGACUAUGUUAAAUAGACAGUUAACUUCUUCUCCAACAGUGGAGUUUUUAAAAAUGUGUAUCAAAGUUUACUUUGUUUUAUAUCAACCUGAAUUCAUUAAAUAAAUCUGGUUAGGUUAGCUUAAUCCUAUACGUCAAGGUUAGCUUAAUCCUAUACGUCAAGGUUAGCUUAAUCCUAUACGUCAAGGUUAGCUUAA